Molecule: ribosomal RNA, 460 nt
Filed under: uncultured bacterium
Lineage: Bacteria
Description: partial 16S ribosomal RNA
Rfam family: Bacterial small subunit ribosomal RNA
Source: RNAcentral
CCUACGGGGGGCAGCAGUGAGGAAUAUUGGUCAAUGGCCGGAAGGCUGAACCAGCCAAGCCGCGUGAGGGAGGAAGGCGCAGAGCGUUGCAGACCUCUCUUGCCGGGGGACAAAAUGCCGGACUCGUCCGUUCCUGAGGGUACCCGGAGAAAAAGCAUCGGCUAACUCCGUGCCAGCAGCCGCGGUAAUACGGAGGAUGCAAGCGUUAUCCGGAUUUACUGGGUGUAAAGGGGGCGCAGGCGGCGAUGCAAGCCAGGGGUGAAAGCCCGGGGCCCAACCCCGGGACAGCUCUUGAAACUGGGUGGCUGGAGAGGAGGAGGGGCAGGCGGAAUUCGUGGUGUAGCGGUGAAAUGCGUAGAUAUCAGGAGGAACACCGGUGGCGAAGGCGGCCUGCUGGACUGGAACUGACGUUGAGGCCCGAAAGCGUGGGGAGCAAACAGGAUUAGAUACCCCAGUAGUC